AUUGAGCGCUAGCGGGACGCCUUACACAUGCAAGUCGAACGGCAGCGCGGACUUCGGUCUCGCGGCGAGUGGCCAACGGUUGAGUAAUGUAUAGGAACGUUCCCAGUAGCGGGGGACAACUACUCGCACGAGCAGCUAAUAGCGCAUACGCCCUACGGGGGAAAGGGGGGGAUCCCAAGACCUCUCACUAGCGGAGGGGCCGAUAUCGGAUUAGCUAGUUGGUGAGGUGAAGGCUAACCGAGGCGACGAUCCGUAGCUGGUUUGAGAGGACGAGCAGCCACACUGAGACUGAGACACGGCGCAGACUCCUAAGGUAGGCAGCAGUGGGGAAUUUUGGACAAUGGGGGCAACCCUGAUCCAGCCAUUCCGCGUGUGCGAUGAAGGCCUUCGGGUUGUAAAGCACUUUUGGCAGGAAAGAAAUCGAACGGAUUAAUACUCUGUGUGGAUGACGGUACCUACAGAAUAAGCACCGGCUAACUACGUGCCAGCCGCCGCAGUAA
Molecule: ribosomal RNA, 500 nt
Filed under: uncultured bacterium
Lineage: Bacteria
Description: partial 16S ribosomal RNA
Rfam family: Bacterial small subunit ribosomal RNA
Source: RNAcentral